Molecule: non-coding RNA, 240 nt
Organism: Camelina sativa (false flax)
Lineage: Eukaryota; Viridiplantae; Streptophyta; Magnoliopsida; Brassicales; Brassicaceae
Source: RefSeq, a predicted model, not a curated record
UCAGAUAUUUAUUGAGGCUCUAUGUCAUGGUAAUUUGUCCGAAGACGAAGCAGUGAACAUAUCAAACAUAUUCAAAAAUAGUUUGACGGUUGAACCGCUCCCAAGCAAAUGUAGACAUGGAGAGCAGAUAACACGUUUUCCUGUGAGUGCCAAACUUGUAAGAGAUGUCAGUGUGAAGAACAAAUCUGAAACAAACUCAGUAAUUGAGCUUUACUAUCAAAUCGAGCCUGAAGAAGCUCA